GGAGACGUCGCAUAGUGGCCAAUUGCAACAGGUUGCUAACCUGUACCGGUUUUCCGGUCCGUGGGUUCAAAUCCCACCGUCUCCG
RNAcentral lists this transfer RNA (85 nucleotides) under Candidatus Woesebacteria bacterium. RNAcentral's name for it is "tRNA-Ser". It matches the Rfam family "tRNA". From Rfam's summary of the family: Transfer RNA (tRNA) molecules are approximately 80 nucleotides in length. Their secondary structure includes four short double-helical elements and three loops (D, anti-codon, and T loops). Lineage: Bacteria; Candidatus Woeseibacteriota. The record is from RNAcentral.